GUUUUCCUGUGUUUGGCUUCCUUGCUUUGCGAUGAUGCUGUCUUGAGUUCAUGUGCUGGACUCUUGUAUUUCGUGUCUUUGUUUUGCUUUGCUCUGUUUUCCUUGUUGUUUGACGUUCUUUUGUCAGUCUUGCUUUAUUGCUGCUCCUGUGUUGCAAUACCUUGGUUUUGUUCAGAUGUGGUGAUUGAUACUUUUCCCUUUCCCAUUCUUGGAACUCUUUUCUCCCUCCUUCAGGGUGUUCCUCUUUGUUUCUCGGCUUUUCAGGUGAUUUGGCUUUGCCUUCCUUGGCUUUUUGGAACUUGGGAAAAGGUACCGAGGUGCAUGGAUAUGGAGAAGAGAAGCUCUCCUGCUGUGGCUGAGAGGUGAUCCAAAGGAGGCCUCCCGAGCAAGCACCGCAAAGGCAGCUUGCUUCUCCAGAGGCUGCAGCAUAAGCUCGUGUUCCUUGUGGAGGACUCCGUUGUGCAUCUGCAGGAGCUGCUUUGGCAUGGAGGAUUUUGUGGAGUUGCUGCCAGUCGUUGCUCGGAUGAAGUGAGGCUUUUGUCCUUGUAUCUGUGCAGGAAAGCAGUGCGGAGGGAACGUGUGUGGUGAGAUGCUGAGGAGAGAUUGCCUCCCUUGCCCCAGCAGGCUGCUUGUGUCCUGGUGAUGCACGGUGACGAGAAGGCUGCUGUUCUGUGUAUGCCAGAGCAUGAAGCAUGGUCAACAAGCACGGGGUAGCAGCAGCUGGAAACAGGGGAAGCUUCCACAGAGCCCCCCGCUGGAGUCCCAGGGUGAUGAGCUGAAGCUGAUUUGGGCAGCAUGAAACCCGGUGGUUUUCCGGGAUCUGUGCCGUAUAGGGCUCAGGGCUGUCACUGGGGUUGCUUUCACAGGACGCCCCCCAGCCCAGCUCAGGACCCACGGUGAGUCUGUGGGUGACAAAUGUGUCACUGAGAGACAGCAUCAGGGUGGGAAUGCAUGGACCAUAGCGCCCAGGGCAGAGCCAAGCGGUGCUGUGGUUGGGGGGGGUCAGCCCCAGGGAGAAAGUCUCCCCCACGGAAGAAAUGGAUUGCUUAGCUCCCCACUAAGCUCCCAUUGCCUCCCAGUAUUGUCUAGAGUCUUCUUGUGCAAACUCAGUGCC
Molecule: long non-coding RNA, 1114 nt
Filed under: Gallus gallus (chicken)
Lineage: Eukaryota; Metazoa; Chordata; Aves; Galliformes; Phasianidae
Description: lncRNA (ENSGALG00010028701.1)
Source: RNAcentral